UACGGAGACGAAUAUACUGUGGGCCCAAGC
This 30-nucleotide non-coding RNA is filed under the name Homo sapiens (human). Lineage: Eukaryota; Metazoa; Chordata; Mammalia; Primates; Hominidae. The record is from RNAcentral.